RNAcentral lists this long non-coding RNA (3123 nucleotides) under Saimiri boliviensis boliviensis (Bolivian squirrel monkey). RNAcentral's name for it is "lncRNA (ENSSBOG00000036674.1)". Lineage: Eukaryota; Metazoa; Chordata; Mammalia; Primates; Cebidae. The record is from RNAcentral.
GGGCCACUUCUAUAACACACUGGAGCAAUUUGACUGGGGGUACUUCCGGGCCCUGGCUGAGGAGUCCCAGCUCUAUGAGCAAAGCCUCAGCCUCUUUCCGCAGCAGUUCCAGCAGACAGGUGUUUACGUCUUUCGUCUGAGCAGCAACCGACAUCGGAAGAUGGUUUGUCUAUGAUAAUUUGCCUCAUUUAAGACAUUAUUCCAUCAUUUCCCCUCUCUUUAAAAAUUACUGCCUCAUAACCACCUCAGACAGAUCUACAGGGGGGGAGCUGCCCUGAUAUCCCUGUCGGUUUCGGGGUCCCACAAUGCUAACAGAUGGUCCCGGGGACACCAAGGUUCAUUCCACAGCAGCUGGGCAUGUGUGGUGUAAGCAGGGGACGGUUGGGAGGAUGGGAACACAAGUGUGUAUUCAGGGACAUCAAUGGCAUUGCUCGGCCUGGGACCUCUGGCUGUCUCUCCCAACCCUCCACUUGUCUCCCCCUCCACAUCUCCCAAGCCCACCUACGCAUGGUUUUAUCCAUGUGACCUGCACAUUGUACCACCACUGAUCCAGGUGUGCUGUUUGUGCCAUACACAGCAUUUAGUAUCUCCCUGUCAGCACAACGUCCAAGAGAUUGUACUGACUUAGUCCCAGAACAUGCACACAGCUCCCUCAUACAGACAGUCAACUGAUGUGAGUCAUCUGAUGUAAAUAAGUUUCCCAGGAAAACUCUGAUUCUGCCUCCCAGCCCCCAGGUUUACACAAUCAUCCAACUGUUUGGUCAGUGUUGGCAGGCAUGGGUCCCACUCUGUCUCCGGGCCAGUUUCCGGUAGACAGCGGGACAAAGACUGAACAGACUUCUUUCCACCCAGUAUCUCCGUGCCCUCCCGCCAGGGGGCCAGUGCUUUGGGGAAGGGCCCUUUGCCUCCACAGCUCCAAGGUAUCUCAUCCAGACUGGCAUCGCCAGGAUCCCCCGGCCCCUGAAGGGGUCUGGCUGGCCAGGACUCCUAGGGGAGAUGGUGCUGCUCCUGGGGCUUUGCCUGCUUCUAAUGAUUCAGUGUCACAGCCUGAGCUGGGCUCGGAAGACUGCUCCUCACCCUACCUUCAGGAGACAUCAGCAAGAAUACAACCUCGACGGCUACACCUCCCCAAGAACUGGAAUAAUGUCAAUGAGGAGAGGCCGAUCUCACCAAGACUCUGAUGCCCCCAGGGUUGAGGGGGGCCCUGAUGGGAGCUGGGAGGCCAAGGAGCAGGUGGACCUGGAAUGGUUUAACACAGAGGCCUUCUUUGGAAUCCUGCUCAGGCAGUCUCUGUCAGUGACAGCCAAACUCAGCCAGACCAAGGAAGAGCUCAAACUCCUCUACCUUAAACUUCUGCGCGAAGCCCAUUCUCUCCAGCAGCUGUGGGGAGCAAGGCGCUGCCUCCCAGCCUCCACUAGUCGGCUUCUGGGGAGCAUGCAGAGGGAGCAGCAGCAGGCUACUGAGGCAGCUGCCAGGGCAGCAGAGGAGGAGGCCAGGCGGAGGGGGCACCUGGCAGGCGAGUAUGCAGCCAGCCUUCGUCACCAACUGAAGCUCCUUCGCCAAGACCUCCACGAGAGGCAGGAGCAGUGGGCCUCUUUCUGCUCAGCACUGAUGGAGGCUCAGCAGCUGCUGAAAGCAUGGACAGGCUCCAGGCCAGAGAAGUCCUCUCCAGCUGGGCAGAACUCAGAAAGGGCGGUUCCCCAGCUGGACACCGUGCUGGGCCACCUGUCCCAGGUCAUGCUGCGGGAGGGCCACCGCCUGAAAGCCUGGGGCAUUCUGAGCACUGGCACUGGGGCAGAGCUGCUGCGGCCAGGAAUGAUGCGCUAUCCCGGGACAGAGCUGUGGGUCCCAGCCCUGUAUGGAAUGGAGAUCCCAGAUCCUGAGGGCUCGGGGCUCAUGGUGCCCAUCCUGGGCAUGGAGCAUGAUGAGAAUUUGGGUGAAGCCACACCCCUGGCAGGCUCAAUGGAAGAUGCCCACGGCAAAGGUCUUAUCCCAAUUUCAAUCGGGGCUCAAGCCAUAGACCCCUUGACUGGGGAGCCUGGUCCCGUCAUUGGAGCUCAAAGAGAUCCCUCUUCCAGAGUGGUGGUGCCCAUUGUCCAGGUGCUGGAGUCCUUACCUCGAGGAGUGAGAGACCCUGGUCUGCUGGACACCCUGGAGCAGGAGCUGAGGGCCCGGGAGCAGUACUGGCACCACCAGGAACAGGAGGAGAAGCUGCUACUGGAUCACCUGGGACACCUGAGCCAGGAGCUCCACUUCACUGCAGGCAAUGGCGUGGAGCAGCAGGUGGUUCAUCGUCUCUCUGAUGAGUUUCAGGGGGUAGUGAGAGAGAGACAGAACUUCCUGGCUAGGGCCCUGGGUCAGCUACAGUACCGACAGGAAUGGAGCCGCCUCCAGUUCCUGCACACCCAGAUGAUUGCCUCAGGAACCCCUGUGUGUUUGGAGAAUUACCCUGGACACAUAUUCUAUGGAACAGUCACAGCUUCUGUCAGGGACCUGACUGCUGCCUGUCCCAUGUUGAUCCCUUUUCUGAAGCAACUCGCCACAGCACUAGUCGGAGCUCAAGGGCUGGAGGAUCAGAGGCCAGGAACAGAUACAGAUAAAGCUAACAUCAUCUGGGCUUCACCAUUCUUCUCCAUCCUGAAGAAAACAGACAUCUGGUCCCAAGCCCACAAAGAAGACACUGAACUGCAAAAACAAGUGUAUCACAAACGAGACCCAAAGAGCUCUUUACAGUAUCUUCUAAAACCUCAAACAGUGCAGAAGGAAGAGCUGAUAACUGUGCAACCCAUUGGCCUUUCUGCCAGGGAGUUUGUGGUUUACCAGUACGGCCUCUCCAUCCUGCACCUCCUCAUCCCCCAGCUUCAUGCUCCAGAAAUCACCCUGAAGAUUGCUUCUCAUCUUCCUGCCAUGGAAGCCCAAGGCAGUGCCUUCCAAGAUGGCUUCUUCUGUCAGAGUGCUGAGAACAUAUUGUUCGUUGGGAGAGAGUGCCUGGCCUCUGUGGGAAGCUUUGUUCUGCUGCUGAUCCGCUGCCUGGCCCACAUCACUGCUGGGGAACCCCACCAGGACUCCAACCCUGCCUUUCUGGGGUCAUUUUACAAGGUAUUUAUAACAUAUACAGUGCAU